Long non-coding RNA from Thunnus maccoyii (southern bluefin tuna), 701 nucleotides. RefSeq lists it as uncharacterized. Lineage: Eukaryota; Metazoa; Chordata; Actinopteri; Scombriformes; Scombridae. The record is from RefSeq and is a predicted model, not a curated record. The transcript is spliced from 3 exons.
UCCCAAAUCAACCCCACAUUCUGAGAGACCAUAGACAUUAUUGUUCCUUUUCACUUUUGUUCACAGCAGUAAAAUCUAAAUCAUGCUGCUGGCAAACAAUACGUCUAAUAAUGAGGCAACCUGUAUGAAACCUUACGACGGAGCCGUAACCCAACUUCAGUCACCAGUCUUCUAACCUGCGGCGAUGCCUUUCAACUUCCUCAGAGGUGAAUUCUUACACAAUCCUCCUUCCAGCAAUCCAGCAGUCCUCAUUAUGGUCACAAAUCCACCACUGCUUUAUGAGCAUGCUCUGAACCCAUCUGUGUGAGCAGCUGGUGUUCUUGCAGGACGACACUGCCCCCUGAGCUCCUCGGUAUCACUUUUUUCAAGAUGUUUUUCACAUGUUCAGCCCUCCCACUGUGGUUGGACAGUGUCCUUGAGUUUGUAAAAGAAGUGGUGGUCAGAGGUAGAAGGAAAACCUGCUGCUUUAUGGCUCUGAAUGAAAACCUGCACCAUCUUGAAUGCUUCCUCCCUCUGGUUAAUGACGACCCUAAUCAGCCAUUGGGCUCUGUCCCUGGAGCCGGCAUGGACCCGUUGGCAGAUGCCACUACCAGGCGCCACAUCACCGCUGCUUCGCCUUCUCACACGGCUGAGUUACCUGCUUGUACCAGCCCUUUCACACUUAUCGUAGGGGUCUCCAUGGUGAGGCGUAUGUCGGUCCG